UACGUCGGGUGCGAGCGUUAAUCGGAAUUACUGGGCGUAAAGCGUGCGCAGGCGGCUUCGCAAGUCAGACGUGAAAUCCCCGGGCUUAACCUGGGAAUGGCAUUUGGGACUGCAAGGCUGGAGUGUGGCAGAGGAGACUGGAAUUCCUGGUGUAGCGGUGAAAUGCGCAGAUAUCAGGAGGAACACCGGUGGCGAAGGCGGGUCUCUGGGCCGAUACUGACGCUGAGGAGCGAAAGCGUGGGGAGCGAACAGG
This 253-nucleotide ribosomal RNA is filed under the name uncultured bacterium. RNAcentral describes it as "partial 16S ribosomal RNA". It matches the Rfam family "Bacterial small subunit ribosomal RNA", at positions 524 to 776 of the family's 1533-position model. The record is from RNAcentral.